GUGAAUCAUCAAAUUUUUGAACGCAAAUUGCACUCUCCUCGGAGAGUAUGCCUGUUUGAGGGUCAGCCUAUAAAAAUCGACAUCGUUGCUGUUUCGCGGUGGCGUUCGUCGGAAAUUGGGUCAUCUUAAAUCCUUUUGAUUUAAGCGACUUAAAAUUUUCUUUUGGUUCAUUAACCGUUUCAAGGUUCUAUUCCUUACCACUUUAAGGUUAU
RNAcentral lists this unclassified non-coding RNA (212 nucleotides) under Glomus sp. Its description in RNAcentral is "partial contains 5.8S ribosomal RNA and internal transcribed spacer 2". The stretch from base 1 to 65 matches the Rfam family "5.8S ribosomal RNA", at positions 84 to 154 of the family's 154-position model. The record is from RNAcentral. Lineage: Eukaryota; Fungi; Glomeromycota; Glomeromycetes; Glomerales; Glomeraceae.